This is a long non-coding RNA of Chenopodium quinoa (quinoa), 2209 nucleotides long. RefSeq lists it as uncharacterized. The record is from RefSeq and is a predicted model, not a curated record. NCBI's taxonomy places the organism in Eukaryota, Viridiplantae, Streptophyta, Magnoliopsida, Caryophyllales, Amaranthaceae. The transcript is spliced from 2 exons.
CUUCAGCACAUCCCACGUCCCCACCUAUGCUUCUUUAAGCAUCAACUUUCAGAGCCUAACCCUAGCGUUGCUAACUUGCUACUCAAUACUCACGAAGUCACAAGUCUCACACUCUCACAACUACAAAAACUCCCCCUACAGCCGUUGUUGCCUCGCUGCCGUUGCUGCCUCCGCUUCCGUUGCCGUCGCCGCUGUUGUUGCUAACACCGCUGUCAUUGCGGUCGUUCCACCCUUGCUGCUCACGUCGCGUUGCCGAACUCUUUAAACACCGGCACCAUCAGAUUCCUCUAUAUGUAAGGUCCUUUAUAAUUUAAUUAUUCUCAUUUUUUCCAGUUCUCAUAUUCAUAUGAUUUUCAAUCAAUUGAUUUUAGCUAUUUCAUAUAUUGAGAUCAAUUGGUUAAUUCAUUAUUUGGGAUUAUUGAAUUGUUUUGGAGAUUCAAUGUUAAAGCUUGCGUUUUUUUCUUCUAAUUAUCGUAUUUUAUGCAUGAUUUUUUGUUAUAUAUUUUGCGGGGUUCUUGUUUUCAUGGAAUCUGUUUGAUUAAUUUUAUAAUGGAGUGCUUGAAAUGCAGAUCCUUUUAAGAGCUAAUCACUUUUGAGAUCCCAACCCAUUUUUUUUUGUCAAUUUACUACUGUAAUGUACUAGAACUAGAAUAAUGUUGAAAUUAUGGUGUUGUAGAAAAUUGCCAUUACACUCAUGGGCAAUUACAUUAGUGGAUGUAAGCUAUGUAAAACAAUAAUUUUAUUCCUAAACUUUUGGUUUAGUCGUUCACUUUCUUUUAAUGUUCAUGAAUGACUUUUACAUUAUAUUAUAUUAUAUUAUAUUAUAUAUAUGAAUAUGAUUCAUUCCUAAAGUUUUAUGCUACUUCCACAAUUCCCUAAUAAUGUCAAGCAAUUGAAGGUGGGUUUAUUGUCAAUAGCUACCAGUUUAUUAGAAAGGUAUUUUUCUUUGCAAAGAAUAUGUCAUUUGAUGCCAAGAUCCUCAUUAUCUUAUUGUAGCCCCCAAGAUCAGAAGUGAUUGCAUAUGUUGUUGAGUUCUCUUGAUAUAUAUUUCAUGUUUGUAGUUCUGACAUAGACAAUGAUCAGAUGAAUGGCUUAUGUGCUCUUCUUUGCAGUAAUACUUAAGAUAAUCCUGCUCACAAGAAAUUGGAACUAGUCUUUUGAAAUUAUUUGUUUGAAUACUAGAUAUAUGUAGGAAUCACCCCACCCUCUUCUAUAAUUAUAAAUCAUACAAAUUGAUGUACGCUUUUCUAAAUAUCCAAUGUUGUUGAAAGUCGAGCUUUUUAUUUUUGGGCAAUAUAAAUCUGAACACUUAUGCUACUGUGGAAUAUUAAACAAGUUUCUAUCAUUAGUUGGUGAUGAUAUCAUUGCUCUUUAUGUUGCAGAUGACAAUUUUAUUGCGAUUAUAGUGUUAUGGAUGGUUUUAAUUAUCGAAUUAGCUGAAAUUGUACGGAUUUGGGUUUGACCCAUGCUCAUGACUAAUAUUAGUUUGAUCAUAUAAGGAGGAAUAUACGAGUAACAAAUUUUUGUUUGUUGGGAUACUUCAUGAUACUUGAAAUUCAUAAGCUUUGAUUAUAAGUAUAGUGUUCUGCCUCCUUUUUCCCUUCUCAUUAGUGCGUGUACAUUCAUCUUAUACACGCUUUUCAAUUUAUAUGUGUGCUUGUAUAUAUGCCUGGAUUGGUGUGAUGUGCAAUCGAAUCAAUAGAAAAACUGAAGAUGAAGUUAGUUAAAUUAUCUUGGUGUUCUUUGGUAUACUUUUUAUGGCUUUUUAGGCUGUGAAUCUUGUAGGCUGGUCUUAUAAUUACUUAAGUGUUGAACCCCCCGUUCUUCCUAGAGCUAACCCUAUGAUGCUUUGAUGAAGAAUAUAAGAAAAAUACGGAAUUGAAGUGCCCUACUCUGGUGAUAUAUGCUUUGCUGCUAUUAUUACUAAAUAGGUGCUUCUAUCGCCACCAAACUGUUGCUGGUGUUGCUGUUGUCAAAUUGUUGUUGUUGCUGCUACCAAACUAUCGUUGUUUCCACAACACUAUUACUGCUCCUAUUGUCACGACACUGCUGCUGAUGCACCGACGGUUAAAGCAUAUUGAUCAAAGCUAUUAUAUAAAUUUUAUACUAGUUUGUUAUUUUUUAUACUUGUAAAUUAUAUUACAUUGUAUAUUGUAAAUUAUACUUUGCGAAAUUGUAACAUUUAUGUAUGUAUAGAAACUUUUAUCAA